ACAAGGGCGUUUCAAAGAGCUGUCAGUCAAGGUGAGCUCAGGAACAUAAGCUCCCCGCCCACUCAGCCUGUUCUUUCAGUCUUCCUGAUUGUUUGAGAAGAGAAAAGUCAGGUCAACUCAGUCUGGUGCCUGAUCCACUGCUGUCGACCUCGGCCUGGCACCGGCGAGCCUUAACCUUGGAUCCCCCCCAACCUUCCAGGAGGCGUGUGGAUAGGGGGAGUGGGGCUAAGGCCUGAGGUGUGUGGAGAAAGCAAGGACCUGCCACAUUAUAUGCUUUAACAUGACUGGCAAAUCCACCACGGUUAAACAAACUUAACCUUCAUUUGUGAAACGGUGCAAAUCAAAGGGCAAAAAAGGACUUGUGCUGGUAAUUACCGCUGGGGGAGAGCAACAGGGGAUUCAGGGAUGGAGGAAGGAGAGAGGUGAGCGCCGGGAGAUAGAGAGGGGAGAAUACAAAAAGAAGGGGAAUCAUUUAAGGAGAAGACGCAUUUGUAAUGAGUUUGCCCAGAAAUGGAUUUUCCGCUGUAAUCUUUUAUUUAUAUGCAGGCUGGUCUCCCUCCCCGGCAGUGUGAGGGUCAGUCCUCUGUGAACCCUGUCAGGACCCCACUCCGUCAAACACCCAAAGACCGGGGAAAAUGGUAUUUUAGCAAAGGCAAACAUUGUCCUGUCUUGGCUUAAGGGGCGAAAUAGCUGUUUAUUUUUAAAAACUUGUUCCCCUUUAUCCAUCAUGCCAGAAAGUCUGUCAGGAGGAAGGAAGACAGGGGCAAAUUGAAAUUGGAACUAAGUUUAGACAGUUAUCAUCAUAAUUAUCCAAUUAAUAUUAAUGGAGUAGAGUGUCAUUAGAGCAUCUCAAUUAGGCAGAGGGUAUUUGGUUAGCAAGCAACCACCAGCAGAACAACUUGGAGGAAUGGCUGUGUAUGGUAGAAUGCAGUACUACUUGUGAAGGAGUGGCUUUCACUAAACAUUCACACUGUGUUACUUGAUUUAUAUUAUUACUAUUGGCAAUUGUCAUUUAUUGAGGGAGUUGUGAUUGCGUUUUGUAUAUUUCAUCUUCCGUAAAUUAAUAACUUUUAUAGGUGUCUCUGAGGAAUGAGAUGUUCAAUCUUAAAGGGAUUGUUUAUAUUAGGCUACAUAUUUUGAUUGUCUCAAGACGGAAUGGAAUAGAUGGAUCAUACACAGGUCAUAAUUACUGAGCUCAUUAAAUGUGUUAGGUUUGUGUCCACCGUGGUGAGCCACUAUUUCAGCCAUGUUCUUCUGCGCAUUAGAAUGAUGAACUAGAUUGCAUACGCAUAUAAAUUGAUCACAUAUAGGUGAUCCAAUAUCUAGCUAUAUUACUCAGUAUCCCAACAUAAUAAACACAUUCAACAU
This is a long non-coding RNA of Oncorhynchus keta (chum salmon), 1368 nucleotides long. RefSeq lists it as uncharacterized. Lineage: Eukaryota; Metazoa; Chordata; Actinopteri; Salmoniformes; Salmonidae. The record is from RefSeq and is a predicted model, not a curated record. The transcript is spliced from 2 exons.